CACCCCCGUGGUGACUAGUGCCACAGUGAGUUACCGCGGGGUUUGGGCAAAGGAUAGUGUGGCAGCGUUGCAUGAUCUUGGGCUUGGGCGCUACGACGUCAAGUUGAUGACCGUGCGCGCGCUUCAGGGUGGGGGUUCGGUGUUUCCGUGUUCACCAAAAGAUGACCACCGUGGUGACACGGGCGAUGAUCCGCAGAUAAUGGCCGUCCCAGGGCCUGUUGUCCCAGAAUAGGACAUUAAAUGGUCCCUCUUCCCUACCAUCGUAAAGAGGAUAAGUGUAUUCCAGGGCGUUGGGCGGCCGAAGGGCAUCCCCAGAGCUCUGAGAAAGAGCGGGGUGAGCCAGUAGCUCUUUGCGCCCUCCAAGUCCUUUAAGACCUAGGACUUCCACCCUUUUUUUUUUGGAGGUUGAGUGAUUACUUCCUUCAAUAUAUUUUUUUUUGGUGGGAGGGGUUGGUCCAGAAUUUCUGGUACCUACAGCAAAUUGCUCCUAGGCCAGGGGCUGUUUGGCCUCCUCUGCCCUGCGGUCCCUGGUGCUCUGGAGUACAAAAAAAAAUAACCAAAUGCCUCGUCAUCUAAUUAGUGACGCGCAUGAAUGGAUUAACGAGAUUCCCACUGUCCCUAUCUACUAUCUAGCGAAACCACAGCCAAGGGAACGGGCUUGGAAAAAUCAGCGGGGAAAGAAGACCCUGUUGAGCUUGACUCUAGUCUGACUCUGUGAAGAGACAUGAGAGGUGUAGCAUAAGUGGGAGGCCGUGAACCCUCGCGGUUGUGUCGUGCCGUCAGUGAAAUACCACUACUUUCAUCGUUUCUUUACUUACUCGGUGAAGCGGAAAGCGGACCAUGAGUGUCCACGCUUCUAGCACUAAGUGCAAGGCCCUUCGUUGGCCCGCACGAUCUGUUCCGAGGACAGUGUCAGGCGGGGAGUUUGACUGGGGUGGUACAUCUGUCAAAUGGUAACGCAGGUGUCCUAAGGCGAGCUCAGCGAGACAGAAACCUCGCGUAGAGCAAAAGGGCAAAUGCUUGCUUGAUCUUGAUUUUCAGUACGAU
RNAcentral lists this non-coding RNA (1047 nucleotides) under Ixodes scapularis (black-legged tick). RNAcentral's name for it is "Eukaryotic large subunit ribosomal RNA". It matches the Rfam family "Eukaryotic large subunit ribosomal RNA", at positions 1999 to 2743 of the family's 3401-position model. Lineage: Eukaryota; Metazoa; Arthropoda; Arachnida; Ixodida; Ixodidae. The record is from Rfam by way of RNAcentral.